This 467-nucleotide ribosomal RNA is filed under the name uncultured bacterium. Its description in RNAcentral is "bacterial SSU rRNA". It matches the Rfam family "Bacterial small subunit ribosomal RNA", at positions 27 to 507 of the family's 1533-position model. The record is from RNAcentral.
UGGACGAACGCUGGCGGCGUGCUUAAAACAUGCAAGUCGAACGGACUUCUCAUGAAGCUUGCGAUUGAGAAGUUAGUGGCGGACGGGUGAGUAACGCGUGGGCAACCUGCCCCUGAGCCCGGGAUAACAGUUCGAAAGGACUGCUAAGACCGGAUAUACUUGCGGUGAAGCAUUUCACUGCAAGGAAAGGGAACGCUCAGGGAUGGGCCCGCGUCCCAUUAGCUAGUUGGUGAGGUAACGGCCCACCAAGGCGACGAUGGGUAGCCGGCCUGAGAGGGUGAACGGCCACACUGGGACUGAGACACGGCCCAGACUCCUACGGGAGGCAGCAGUUGGGAAUCUUCGGCAAUGGGCGCAAGCCUGACCGAGCAACGCCGCGUGAGUGAUGAAGGUUUUCGGAUUGUAAAGCUCUGUCUUCCGGGACGAUAAUGACGGUACCGGAGGAGGAAGCCACGGCUAACUACGUG